ACGAACGCUGGCGGCGUGCUUAACACCUGCCAGUCGAACGGAAAGGCCCUGCUUUUGUGGGGUGCUCGAGUGGCGAACGGGUGAGUAACACGUGAGUAACCUGCCCUUGACUUUGGGAUAACUUCAGGAAACUGGGGCUAAUACCGGAUAGGAGCUCCUGCUGCAUGGUGGGGGUUGGAAAGUUUCGGCGGUUGGGGAUGGACUCGCGGCUUAUCAGCUUGUUGGUGGGGUAGUGGCUUACCAAGGCUUUGACGGGUAGCCGGCCUGAGAGGGUGACCGGCCACAUUGGGACUGAGAUACGGCCCAGACUCCUACGGGAGGCAGCAGUAGGGAAUAUUGCACAAUGGGCGGAAGCCUGAUGCAGCAACGCCGCGUGCGGGAUGACGGCCUUCGGGUUGUAAACCGCUUUCGCCUGUGACGAAGCGUGAGUGACGGUAAUGGGUAAAGAAGCACCGGCUAACUACGUG
This 467-nucleotide ribosomal RNA is filed under the name uncultured bacterium. RNAcentral's name for it is "partial 16S ribosomal RNA". It matches the Rfam family "Bacterial small subunit ribosomal RNA", at positions 29 to 507 of the family's 1533-position model. The record is from RNAcentral.